GGUGAACGCUGGCGGCGUGCUUAACACAUGCAAGUCGAACGAAGCACCUCUCCCGAAGAUUGACACAGCUUGCUGUAGAUUGAUUCAUUUGAGGUGACUGAGUGGCGGACGGGUGAGUAACGCGUGGGUAACCUGCCUCAUAGAGGGGGACAACAGUUGGAAACGACUGCUAAUACCGCAUAGUAAGAAGAAUUCGCAUGUUUUCUUCUUGAAAGAUUUAUCGCUAUGAGAUGGACCCGCGUCUGAUUAGCUAGUUGGUAAGGUAACGGCUUACCAAGGCGACGAUCAGUAGCUGGCUUGAGAGAGUGAACGGCCACAUUGGGACUGAGACACGGCCCAAACUCCUACGGGAGGCAGCAGUGGGGAAUAUUGCACAAUGGGGGAAACCCUGAUGCAGCGACGCCGCGUGAGUGAAGAAGUAUUUCGGUAUGUAAAGCUCUAUCAGCAGGGAAGAUAAUGACGGCACCUGACUAAGAAGCCCCGGCUAACUACGUG
Molecule: ribosomal RNA, 495 nt
Filed under: uncultured bacterium
Lineage: Bacteria
Description: partial 16S ribosomal RNA
Rfam family: Bacterial small subunit ribosomal RNA
Source: RNAcentral